Long non-coding RNA from Labrus mixtus (cuckoo wrasse), 2350 nucleotides. RefSeq lists it as uncharacterized. The transcript has 6 exons. NCBI's taxonomy places the organism in Eukaryota, Metazoa, Chordata, Actinopteri, Labriformes, Labridae. The record is from RefSeq and is a predicted model, not a curated record.
CACGAGGAGACAGAAAGCCUACUGUGACUUUUACAUUGCUGGUUCAUUCGGUUAAAACAACCUGACGGAAAUAUCAACGAUGCACUGUGACUACCUCGACAGUGGACCAGACUGAACGGACUUCAAACGAGGAUUUUUGACUAUACUCCAAAGGAUUUUCUAAAUGGGUACUGAAAUUACCAUGCAACAAGGAAUCAAACUUGUAUGAAUAAAUAAAGAAAUAGAUCAGACCGCUACAAUCAGGGACUGUAUUUAGAAAAAUUCUGAGAAAACUCUCAGAGCUGGAUUACACAAGAAAUACAGUUAAAAACAAAUAAAGUUAUCUUUUUAUCCCUGAACAACACAUCAAGAUGAAGACACAGUGAAUGUUAUUACCCGUCACUUUUUUCAUGCUGGGAACAUUCAACAACAAUUGGAUUUUUGGACACAUUUUCCACAUUGCCAUGUCCAAUCGCUUUGAAACAAGAGAAGAUAUUACAUUUCAAAAACUCAGAGCUCAAUACCCCAGGAUCAACCAAUACAACCCAAGUUGCCUAUUCAAUGUGUAACAGACCCGAGUGGUUUGAAUGGAGUUGUUGUGUAUGGAGAUCACACCUAUGCAUUAACAAAUCCCCUGAUUGGGAACCACGUGGACAACUCAACCAAUGUGGGUGGUGUGUUGGAGCAGCAAAGCUCAGUCGUCUUGUAAUAAUCCGGGGGUUCCAGCUGCUCGGACCAAACCAAGAAACCACGAAGAGUGUGGAGCUGGAGUAACACACAUAUGCUUACAAAACAGUUCAACACAGGGAAACAGUAUCGUGUUUCAGCUGACAGGGGACGUGGUCUGUGAAGCAGCAGGUUUGGCAACAAGGAAGCAGAUACUUAUCAAAGUAUCUGAAGGGGAAAGGCAGAAAAAAGCAUACAGUUUGUACAAAGCCUUACUUUUUAAAGGGUUUUUAUCCAUGUUUUAGGGAUCCUAAUAAUUAUGCUGUUCUUUUUUAUAUUAUACUUGUUUCCAUGCACUCUUAAAAGAUCUCAUCUGAACAUAUUUCUGUCAUUCAAACACCUAAAAACUUUAUUUAAAAAAAAAAAGUUUGUUAGCAGGCUUCAUUGAUUUAUAUUUACAGUCAGGUUAUUCCUGGUAGGCUAAUUACAUAAAAUAAAGCAUGACACAAACUUGCUGCUGGAUUCACAGACCACCUACAACAAAGCAUGCAUCUAUCAGUCACAUGUUACAUUCUACUUUUAUGUACAAUAAACAGUCUGGACAUACAGAGUUUUAAAAAGUAAUGUAAUGUAUUGUUACAGAUAAUGUGGAAACUGGGGAGUGCAGGAACACAUCACCCCCAGACAACCUGAGCCAGGCAGAGUCAGGAGGAGCAGGAGAGGGGGGCCUAGGAUCUGAGGCCAGUGUCUCCAGAGAAGCAAAUCCAUGCGCCUCUGGGAGUGCCUCGCUUGCUGAGGGCUGCGUCGGGCUAGGUCCUCAUUACACUGCGCAGGAAUCGCAGAUAGAGAUUGUUGAUACAAUGAAAGAUAUGUUGCAGAAAAUUAAAAAGAAUGAAUGAUGUUCUUGAUGGAAUAAGUCACAUAUUGAAAGACCAUAAUAAAAAUAAGAAAUGGAGCCUAGCGGUUAGUUAGCACACCCCAUAUAAAGAGGCUUUAAUAUGCAAGAGGUCUUGCUGUCCAGGUUUAAAUCCGGCCUGUGGAUCCUUUCCUGCAUGUUAUUCCAAACUCUCUCUCCAUGUUUUCUGAAUAUAUCCACUGUCCUAUCUCUAAAAUAAAUGCAUAAAAAGCCCAAAUAAGAUAAAUCUUAAAAACAAAACAAAAAUAAAGAGAAAUACUUGCCUCAUCUUACCGUGUUGUUUCACAUUCUGUGCAUCACAUUGAAAUGGAGAUGUAUAGUUGAUGUGUUUGGGACAUUGUUAGGUGCAGGGUCGCGGUCCGGUUUGCCUCCUGAGGCACAUUCACAACACGUUUUUUCUCAUUUCUUGCACAGGAGCUGGGAGUGCACCUCGCUUCCUUUGCAUCACAUAUGUGCGCACACAACAACUGUACAGUAGAGGCUGACAGGACAGGAAAAAUAAGUCAAUUUGAUGUGAUGCCGAGAAUUGACGCACAGGGCAACAGAGUUUAAAGCUUUCAUGACACUUAACUGUCCUUAAUAUCAUUAACUAAGAGACCCAUAAGAACCUUUCAGUGUUUGCCUAUAUUUGAUUUUUACUCUGGAACUUGCUCUGUUAACAGCCGCAUCAAGUAUUACACUUCCAAACAAUCUGCAUUAUCUCAGAUAAUUGAAUAUUCCACCUAAUACAGAUUUAUGUGCAUGAUAAUAAAUUGUAUUAGCAAAGAAAAUAAAGAACAUUUAACAUAA